AUCUGACGAAUGUUUAAAUGCUACACUCAUGAUCUUAUUAUCCAUCAACUGUGUCUUGCUCACUAUGCUUAAGGAUAGAGAAGAGCAAUUACACUUUUGGUUCUGUUGGUGUUUUCCACCAACAGGGCCCAUGCACUUGAUCUCUGCCUUGUCUCUAUGAGCAGGUACACUUCGAGCAAAAUAUGAAGGACUUUUAUAACUCCCAGACUCCACCAAGUGAAGAACCUAGAUCUACGAGCACAAACACACUGGAGAUACUGGACACUCAGGCAAUCACUGCACUGAGAAGCUUGAGGACGUAACUACUGGAGUAACCCUGUUGUGGAAGUAAUUACUGACCUUCGGCCAGUCAAGAGAUACAAUCCAGGACGUCCCGUCAUCCCGAUCUCCAUCGGCAUGGUGGACUUCCUAGAAGCACUCUGCAACUUUGGCUCCAGCGUCAACAUUAUGCUUAGGGUACUCUAUGAAAAAUUCUUUGCACAUCCUUUAUCAGAAACAACCAUGGGUUUGCAGCUUGCAGAUCGUACACUAAGUUUCCCACAGGGAAUAUUGAAGAACCUCUACGUCCGAGUUGGUACCUUAUACGCUCCAGCAGACUUCGUGGUGAUAGAGACUUAUACUGAUGAGAGGGCAUCCAUCAUCCUAGGGAGGCCAUUCCUAAACACCUCGGGAGCUGUCAUCUACGCUAGUGCUGCUAAAAUCCAUUUCUACAUCAAGGGGAGGAAGGAGACGUUUUCCUUCAAGAACAAGGCUACACGAAUCUCAAAGCAAUCCCGACAUGAACCAAGGAAGAGGAUCAACAGGGGGAGCAGGAACAAGCAAAUAUAGACCGAGUCAGCUAAGAUGGUCACUGCAGUUCAAGGAGGUCAAGAUCGUCAACUCAAGUCACCUUUCUUGAUCAAGAAGGACGACCCUGGUGUUCCAAGCAUCGAGUGCACAACCAACGGAUAUUCUUUUCAGAAGACACUCUACGACACCGGAUCUGACGUCAACAUAAUGGCUGCAGUCACUUAUCAGCUCCUGCAUGGAACCAUGCCCCUACAACCAACAUACAUUCAGCUCCAGAUGAUUUUAAGGUUAUUGACAUGGGAGAAGACGAGUACGAUCCACCCAUCAUCCUUGGGAGACAGUUCCUCAGCUCCGUUAAAGCAAUCAUCUACAUUGGAACCGGAGAAGUCCACAUGCACUUCCCCUCUGAGAAGGUACGCCGCUAUUUUACUGACCUUAACUAUAUAGUUGAAGACUCUAAGCAGGUCAGGACAAGAAGGAGAUGACGCAACCGCUACCAGAGGAGGCAAAUUAUCAAUUACGGAUGGGCGGACUAUGAAGGAGAAGUGGUAAGGUCUGAAGACAUACAACUUGAACAGAACUGUCCUGAGGAGACCGUAGCACCGAGUCAGGUGUGUAGAGAGAAGAUAGUUAUACAUGAAGAGGAGGCACCGCCGGAACCACCGACUACGCCAUCCAGCGAAUCCCAGGACGACUGAGAAAACAUAGAGUCCCGUUCGGAGGACUUAAAAACACCGAACGCCUUGCCAAGAGGUAAACUUGGUAGUUAUCUUUAUUCUUUCAAUAUUUAAAAUAGUUUGCUUAGUUAAUUAGGUUCACAUCAUCUUGAAAAGAAAAUAAAAAUGUUGAAGAUAGUAAGCCCCAUGUGAGUAUGCUCAUGGCAUAAAACGCAUAAGUACAUUCACUGUGGUGGCAUAAAAAUGAAAUAAAUAUAUUCCUGUCCUAUAAAAAAAUUAUAAAAAUAAAAUUAUGAUCCUACUAAUGAGUAACAUUUAUUGAGGAGGCUCAACAUGAUAAAGGCUAGAUAUUUAUGCUAACACUUAACUAGUUCCACAAAGCUUUGUAGUUUAUUUGAGCUCCACAGAAUUCAAGGAUCAAAGAAGACUAGCAGACGAUGGACAUCCUAAUCGCUGUCAGGGUGCUGCCGACAUACCUCCGCCACCUGCUGGCUACAUCAGAAGAAAUUACGUUAAAAUCCAGCUUGGGGGAGAGCACCCCCAUUUAUCCAGCUAAGUAUUCUACUCACGUUUAUACUUUACUCUAAUAAUAAAAUGAUGCAUAAUCAUAGAAACCCAAAUAAAGAUUUUGUGCUUAUAUAUAUCUUUGCUUAGUUUGCUAAAUAAAUAAAUAAAUAAAGUCUGCUAUGAACCAUCAUGAUAAGCUCUCACAUGGAAAUGAUGAAUAGUUGCUCUGCCAUGACUAGUUCUCAAAAUUGAAAUCUCUCUCUCAAGUUUAGGCCUGGCUGUUAUUAAUUUGCUCUAAACCUGAACUUGUGGGAAGAGUACUUGAUCUGAAGUCUAAGUCGUUAACGGAUAUGAUAUGGGAAGGUUGAGCUGCUGUUUAUCUGUUCCUAGAGAUGCUAGAAUUCUGGAGAAUUUUAUCUUUGAAAAUCUUUAAAAUGUUGCAUGAUGAGUUCCUGUAUGAUGAGAGUUUAAAUUCCUACCACAGCCAUAUAUACAUGCUUGUUAGACUAUGAACCACACAUUUACUUUUUACUGCUUAUGAGCAUUGAGUGUGGUCAAGCUGUGUAGACCCUUAGGAGCUUGCCAUGUGGUUAAAUCAAGAUUCACUUGCACGUUCACUCACACAUGCUACUUCUACUCCAGAAGUACCAUCCACAUAUAUCCAUCCAUUUCCAUCUCUAGAACCACCCAAAAAUAUUCUACUCCUAAUCCGGUAGAGAAUAGCCAAAAACAUUCUCCUAUUUUUGUUUUUCACUGUGAAAAAAAUGCUCAAGUUAUCUUGGUUACUACCACUUGCUAUAUUAUUUCAGGAGAUGAGUGCUCAAAAAAAAGAAAGAAAAAAAGAAAGAAUGCGAGGAAAUAAAAAGGGGCAAGUGCCCGGAACCUCGAAGAAAAGAAAAAGUGAGACGAGAGGUAAAAAUGGACAAGUGUCCGACAGUAGAAUUAGGGGUACAAGAUACCCACCUAAGAGAAAAGAAAAAGAAAAUAUAGAGCAUCUCAUUCUCCUCAAAAAGUUUCAAAGUGCAAGAAAGGUAUGUACCCCCUCAAAAGAGCAAAAGUAGAAUUAGACUUUCACCAUUGUUAUUACCAUCGUCACCAUACAUCAUUCAUACGCCACACAUGCACAUCUUGAUUUGACUUAUUGACUUGUUCUUCUGGAUCCAUGGUUUGACUAUGCAAUAAAUGUCUUGUAAGUAUGUAUUAGCUGUCUCCCACCUAUGAGCUCCAGAUAUCAAAACCUUAUUAGAGUAGGGUGAGAGAGAAGGCAAUGUCACCGUGCCUUAUACCACAAAUACCACAUACUUUGAGAGAAGGCAUACACUAUUACUGCCUUGGUAAGGAUCCAGAAAUACCACAAAAGAGAGACUAGAGAGAGUCAUACAAGGAAUCUCUGAGUUUUAUUUGAAAAUCUACAAAAACUCCAGAGCUAUAGUUAAUCGAAGAACAAGAGAUAUGGCGCUUGACUAGACCGUUCUAUCUUUCAACUGCUCAAGACACAGGUGACAGUUGCAAGCCCCAUGGUGGAAGGUAAAAUGAGUAAGUUUAAAUCUUAACAGUUUACCCUAACCUAGAGAUGAGAUCUUGUUUGAACGCAUGUGUAUCUUUAAGGCAUGAAACCACUGUAGAAACUCUUGAGUUCAUCUUUGCUCAGGGAGGAGCAAAGGUUAAGCUUGGGGGAGCUUGUUGACGGUCCUUAAUGCUCACAUUUAACCAUCAACUAAUCAUGGAAAAGGAUCCAAAUGCAACCAACACCCAGACUUAGGGUUUUAUCUGACAGAAUUCCACGAGUUUUGGUGUUUAUCUAUUUCUGCAGGGGGUUAUCAGGAAAUACAGAAGAAAGGCCCACACGUCGGGUUUACAUAGAGAUAUUAACGUGUCGCACAAUUUUCUAUCAUUUAGAAGACUCCAGAAGCCACGGGAACGAACGGGAAGGCAAUCGGGCUCGGAGGUAGGGCGCCCGCCCAACUCUCCUGGGCGCCCGCCCAGCUACAGUGCCCAAUCAGGACACGUUUCGCGGAUUAUGCUCCACCGACCUAAAGGAUCAAGGAAAACCGUGCGAUUAAUGUCGGUUUGAUCCGACAGCCUAGAUUCAGUUGAAGGGACUAUAAAACCAGACCCCUGGCCCCUGGAGAACAUACCUCUUCUACAGAAUCAAAGCUAGGGUUUCAAUUCUUCAUCCAAGUAGAGAGGAUCCCUUUAGUUCUUCUAGUUCUACCUCUAGUUCAUCUAGAUCUAGUUCUAGUUCAUCUAGUUCUAGUUCUAGUUCUAGUUAGUUCUAGUUGUAAUCUAGAAAAUAGGGAGAGAGAAGAGGAGAGCGGAGGAGGAGUCGGAUCUGUCGGAUCUUCCUCAACAUUAUACUUUUGCAGCAUCUGGUUCGUUCUUCAUCAUUCUCCAGGUUCUUCAAUUCAUAACUCCUGAGUUCUCUAAUUACUUUUAUUUACAUUCAAGUUAUUUAUUGGAUUCCUGCUUGCAUCAAGUGCUCUAGUCUUUGAAACAUUAGAGUAGUAAUUAAUAGAUUAGACGUGGUGUUUAGUCUUGCGAUUACCUGGAAUUGCACCCAAUCCUGCGGAUUGUUGUGGUAGCCUUAGGGUAGUGACAGCCCUAACGGUCGACGUAUUCCACCACGUUCGGAUCGGUGUUUGUAGGACCGUAGUCAGAGCUUCCUAGCCCCCUUCUCAUCUCUUUCUGUGGUUAAUGUUCUAAUGUCCCGAUAUAGAUAAUCUUGAAGUAAUUCUUGAUUCUUAGAUCAACUAGAGAACUCUCAGGAAACUUCCUCUCUUCCCACCAAAAAUAUUCAUAUAGUUAUCCUUGGGCGAUCUUGGAUCUUAAUUAGUACACUCACGUUCUCUGUGGAAAAUCGAUACUUUGGAAUACUCCCGGGUGAAAGCUACAUCGGUAUCCGUGCGCUUGCGGAUUUUUCUGUUUGCGUUUAAAAUACCCAACAUUCAUGUGCUUGGUCAGAGGAAUGAAGCCUGGCACGAGGAGGACACCCUGAGGGCCCGAUAGCUAGAGCUUGAGCAGCAGUUAGCUAAUGCUGAGGAGUACAAUGAGAACUUGCAUGAGGAGAUCCACCAGCUGCAUAACCAGCUCCACCCUCACCACCUGCCUGGAGCAGCUGAGUUAGACUCUGAGGAUGAGAUGGAGGAGGAUCCAGAGAUAGAGGCAGCUACUAGUGGGGAUGAGGACGAUGAGGGCUUCGGCAUGGACAGUGACCAUAGCGAGUAGAUGCUAGGGUUCUAGAGCUAGUCCUUCUUCUUUUGUUGUUGUUGUUGCAUGGCAUGUCUUGUAAUAUGUGGAUCUGGGCUGUGUAAAACUUUAUGUGAUGACGCUAAAAGUCCAGUAUGUGUACACUGGCAAUCUCGGAUGUAUGCGAACCUUGUUGCUCGAAUGUUAAGUAAUCUGUUAGUGAUGUUGGGUGUGGAUGAUGAAUUGUUGUGCCUCUGUUUAUUGUGCGAAUUUAUUUUCCUCAGUAAAUUCAGUACGGCAUAAUUCUACAUAUGUCUACAGUUGAUGACAACUCCUAACGAUUGCUUAUCAUUGACGCAUGCAGAUGGUGCAAACACGUGGCGGGGGUAACAGCAACCCCGGUCUUGGGGUAGGUACCUCCGGAGGUGGGGCUCAACGGAAUGAGGAAAGAGCACCAUCACCGCCACCCCCACCUCCUCCGUACACUGCAGACGUGUUUUUCGUGCAGUUUCUGGGGAGCCAACGCAACAUGGAACAGAUGCAGCGCAACAUGGAAGAAGCCAUGCGCAAUAUCGCUGACAAUACCCACCGUGGGGAUAACCAAGGCGGCCGUGAAGCCAAUCAGUACAGCUCUUUCAAGGACUUCAUGGAUACCAAGCCACCAGUCUUCAAAGAGGCCUUGGAACCGCUCGAGGCAGAUGAGUGGAUCAGCACCAUGGAGCAAAAGUUCUGUCUUCUUCGGAUGACUGAAGAACUUAAAGCUGAGUACGCAGCACAUCAGUUGCAGGGACGUGCUGGGAUUUGGUGGUCCCAUCAUCGUACCACCUACCCAGAGGGGACCCCAAUCAUCUGGAACCGCUUCACCACUGCUUUUCGGGGAAAUUAUAUUCCUCCGGGUGUGGUGGAAAUGAAGGUUGGAGAGUUCAUGAGGCUGUCUCAGGGAACGAAGUCUGUGAAGGAGUAUCUACACGCUUUCAAAAAUCUCGCUCAUUACGGCCCCGAGUUUGUGAACACGGAGGCCAAGAAGAUCGCUAGUUUCGAGAGAGGUUUGAGCCCAAAGAUGUUGAAGACCAUGGGUACAGGAACCCGGGCUACCUUCGAUGCUUACUUCAGUGACUGUCUGACCUAGGAAAACAAUAACAACAACUAUAGUGCAUCCAAGUCUCGUAAGAGGGCUUUCGAAGCCGGGUCAUCGCAGUCUAGGGCACCGAUGGCAGGGCGACAACAGUAUCGUCCUCAUGCCCCAGGUGCUAGGUUCCGAUCGCCGCAGAGAAGGAACACCAGGCAUCCAACGCAGCAGAAGCCGUACAAGGUGGCAAUAGCUCCUGCCAAGCCAAAAGCAGUUCAAGAUGCGGCACCUGCCGCCAACAACAUGACCAAGGGGCCAUGCUACAACUGCCACAAGAUGGGACACUUUGCUAAGGAAUGUCCCUACCCCAAGAGGCAGCAGACGACCUACCCAGCUCGAGUGCACCAUUCCUCGAUAGAGGAGAUCCCGGAAGGAGAACCAGUAACAGCUGGUAUGUUUCCUGUCAACCAACAUCUUGUAGUUGUUUUGUUUGAUUUUGGAUCAUCGCAUUCAUUCAUGAGCCAAGCAUUUGCACAAAAGCAUGACCAAACAGUUACAGAUCUGGGUUAUGGCUAUCGCAUCAGCUCAGCAGGGGCAGAUGUAUUGACAAAUAGAGUGAUCCGAGGGGCAACCCUAGAUAUAAGUGACUGGGUGUUUUGAGUAAAUCUGGUAGUCAUGCUUGGAUUAGUUUUGGAUGUUAUCAUGGGCAUGAACUGGAUGAUAGAGUGGGAUGUUGUCAUAGAUACUGGGAAGAGCGUGUUAUCUCUCAGAGAACCCCAGGGCAGUGGAUCUUUUCAAGUACCUCUGCCCCGUUGCUUUGACUUUACUAGCAUCUCUUGUGCUACGCACGUGGUUCCACUACCAUAGAUCCCAGUAGUCUAUGAGUUCCCUGAUGUUUUUCCUAAGGAAUUGCCAGGACUUCCCCUAGAUAGGGAAGUAGAGUUCGCAAUAGAGUUGAUACCAGGCACCGCACCGAUAUCUAGAAGGCCGUACCACAUGCCACCUAAUGAGCUCGCUGAGUUGAAGAAUCAACUAAAGGAAUUACUGGAUAAAGGGUUCAUUCGGCCAAGUUCGUCAGAGUGGGGUUGUCCGGCGUUGUUUGUGAAAAAGAAGGAUCAGUCGCUGCGCAUGUGCAUGGACUAUCGUCCACUCAAUGCGGUGACAAUCAAGAAUAAGUAUCCAUUGCCAAGGAUUGAUAUCUUGUUUGAUCAGUUGUCCAAGGCAAAAGUGUUUUCCAAGAUAGACUUGAGGUCCGGGUCUCACCAAAUCAAGAUCCGUCCACAAGAUAUCCCGAAGACUGCUUUUUCCACCAGAUAUGGGUUGUACGAGUAUCUUGUCAUGUCCUUUGGGUUGACAAAUGCUCCUGCAUACUUCAUGUACCUGAUGAAUUCGGUCUUCAUGCCAGAAUUAGACAAGUUUGUUGUGGUGUUCAUCGACGACAUUCUGGUUUAUUCAGAGAAUGAGCAAGAUCACGCCGAGCAUCUAAGGGUUGUGCUAACACGACUACGAGAGCAAGUGCGAGUUCUGGCUGAAGAAAGUUCCUUUCCUAUGGCACAUUCUGUCUGAAGAGGGGAUUGCUGUGGAUCCAUCAAAAGUACAGGAAGUCAUGGACUGGAAGGCACCAACUUCUGUCUCGGAGGUUCGGAGUUUUCUUGGUCUGGCCGGGUGUUAUCGCCGUUUCAUACUCGACUUCUCCAAGAUUGCUAAGCCGAUGACCAGUUUGCUACAAAAGGAUCAUAAGUUUGUCUGGACGGAAGGGUGUGAGCUAGCCUUCCGCACCUUGCGAAAGUUGCUAACCACCGCUCCCGUUCUAGCGCAACCCAAUAUCGAGAAGCCUUUUGAUGUGUUUUGCGACGCAUCAAAAAUUGGCUUAGGAUGUGUGCUGAUGCAAGACGGUAGAGUAAUAGCUUACGCUUCACGAUAGUUGAGAAAGCACGAAAUCAACUACCCACUCACGACCUCGAGUUAGCAGCAGUAGUGCACGCCUUGAAGAUCUGGAGGCACUAUUUGCUGGGAAAUAAGUGUCAUAUCUACACCGAUCAUAAAAGUCUGAAGUACAUCUUCACUGAGUCUGAGCUGAUCAAGGAUUAUGAUCUGGAGGUUUACUAUCAUCCAUGCAAGGCUAAUGUGGUAGCAGAUGCAUUGAGUCGCAAACCGCACUAUCAAGUGGUUCAACCAUUCUUUGAAGAUGGUUUCAAUCUCAUGCAUCCUGAAGUCUUAUGUCACAUACAGCUUAGUUGUUCACUUGAGAGUCAAGUCAUCAAAGGCCAGAAAACAGACAAGGGUAUUUUCCACAUCAAAGAGAAGAUCAAAAAUGACCCAAGGACUCAAUUCAGAGUUGAUGAAAAUGGGGUAUUGUGGUUUCAACACCGACUAGUAGUUCCGAAGAAUCGAGAAUUAAAGAAUCGCAUCAUGGAUGAAGCACAUCUCUACAAGCUUUCUAUUCAUCCUGGCAGUAGUAAGAUGUAUCAAGACCUAAGAUCUCACUUUUGGUGGACUAAGAUGAAGAAAGAGAUAGCACCAUAUGUGGCCCGUUGUCACACGUGUUGUAGAGUCAAGGCUAUACAUAUGAAACUUGCGGGUCUGUUACAACUGUUGUCAGUACCAGAGUGGAAAUGGGAAGAGGUCAGCAUGGACUUUAUCACAGGUUUGCCGACAACACGAAAGGGAAAUGACUCGAUUUGGGUAAUCAUAGAUCGAUUGACCAAGUCGGCUCAUUUCAUUCCAGUUAAGAACACAUACAGACCUCCCAAGUGUGCCCAUAUAUAUAUAUGGCUGAGAUCGUCAAAUUACAUGGCAUUCCCAAGACCAUCAUAUCAGAUAGAGGACCACAGUUCACCGCUCACUUUUGGGAGCGAAUGCAUAAGAGUUUGGGGACUAGUCUGAUAAGGAGCACCGCAUAUCAUCCCCAAACCUCAGGUCAAACUGAAAGGCUAAAUCAAGUGUUAGAAGAUAUGCUGAGGGCCUGUGUGCUAUCGUCCAAGGUAUCAUGGGAAUCGUGGUUGCCUUUGGCCAAGUUCUCAUACAAUAAUAGCUAUCAAGAGAGUAUCAAGAUGGCUUGGUUCGAAGCUUUGUAUGGUCGGAGGUGUAGGACUCCGUUAAACUGGGUCGAAUCUGGUGAGAGAAGAUACUAUGUGAUAAACUUUGUGAACGAAGCCGAGAAGAAAGUACAAAUUAUACAACAACACAUGAGAGCAGCGCAAUCCCGAUAGAAGAGUUAUGCAGACAAGUGAAGAAGGCCACUCGAGUUUAAAGUGGGUGACUAUGUUUACCUCAAGGUUACGCCAAUGAAGAAAGUUCAACAUUUCCGAGUCCGAAGCAAGCUUGCACCCAGGUAUGUGGGACCGUAUCAGAUACUAGAAAGAAAAGGCCCUGUGGCCUACAAGAUUCAGUUACCUGAAGAGUUGAGUUCAAUUUUCCCAGUCUUUCAUGUGUCACAGCUACGGAAAUGUUUGAAAAUACCCGAGCAAAGGAUUGAACCCCAGGGCAUCAAGAUAAAAGCAGACUUAGAGUAUAAGGAGCAACCAGUGGGUAUCGUAGAUACCAAGGAGCGGGUAACCCGGAACAGACUUGUCAAAACAUAUAAUGUGGUGCGGAGUCAUCAUGACGAUAGGGAUGCCACCUGGGAAACCGAGGAUUACCUAAAAACAGUUUACCCAAAAUUUCAUAAGAAAUGGUUCGUAACCCAAAUCUCGGGAUGAGAUUUCCCUAAGGGGGGAAGGGCUGUAACACCCUAGGUGUUAAGCAUGUACUUAGUCUCAUAAACUCAUCCAUAAGCAUUCUCAUCAAGCAUAGCAUUGCAUGAACAUGUCUUUCACUCGAAAUGUGAUUUUAUGUGCCUUAUUUUAUGUGAAUUAAAUAUGGUAAAAAUAUCAUGCUUGCUUCUAAAUUCUUUAGUUGCCCAAAUUAAGUUGAAAUGGGUGUUAGAAUAUUUAAGAGUAAUUUUGUGAUAUUUUUGGAGCUAUAGAAAUUGAGAAAUUGAUUUUAUACUAAAAUUCCCAAAAAUAGAUUUAUUUAAAAACCUAUAACUAGUUUUGAGUUGUAUUUCAAAAUCUAUUUUGAAUUUGUGAAUUUGACUUAAAGCAAACUUGUAGGGUUUUUGUUUUGGGACAAUUUUUAUUUUGGGGGAAAAAGGUGAAAAUGAUUUUAAAGUGGUCCAAAUGAAUUUAGAAAGAGUUUGAGAAAAGGAAUUAAAAAAAAUAGAAAAGAGAAAGGGGGGCGCUAGCAGGCUGCGGUCUCACUUCUGGCCCUCUGGCCGAAGCCGGCCCAACCCGCCCGUGCUCUCCCCUUCCCCGCGCUCACGCCCGCGCCAUGUCCGCGCGUGGACGGCCGCGUGGCGAGCAUGCGGUCGCCUGGACGUGCCCUGGUCGGCCACCAAGAGCGCCCGGCUGCGCCCGCCUCCGCCCUCGCUGCCAUUUGAGCCCGCCAGCCCUCCCUCUCUCGCUCUCUCGCCCUCGCUCCGCGCGCGCAGAGCGCUGCCGUCGCCAUUGGAGCCUGAGCUCUGCCUCGACCGUUCUGCCCCAGCGCGUGCACCAUUCUUCGAUUCGUUCUCUCCCGAGCUCCGCCCUCGCUCCGCCGUUGCGGAACACGUUUCCGAGCGUUUGGUGAGGCACGGUGAGCCCCGCUCGCCCUCGUUUCUUCUCUGACGAAGAGCACCGCCGCCGCGCACGUAGUCUGCAUGCCUCCGUGCUUUCUGGUGCCGCUUAGUUAGCGCGCCGUGCUCGCCUCGGCACCGCGACGCUCGCGAGCCACUCCAAUCGCGCUCUACCGGGCCAGCGCCUCGGGACGACGGUGAGCAGCGCCGCCGCUCCACCAUGGCCGGUGGCGAGCUUGCUCCGGUCCGUUUCAGGCCACGCAAAAGGGUGCGCUGAGUUCGCCUUGAGCCGUAGAACGCGUUGGGCAGUUUGAUUCGCCGAAAGAGGUCGCCGACGGUGAGCUCCGGCUCGCCGGAGUUCUCCCCUCUCUGCGCUCUGGCCAGCAGGCCCGGCUGGCAGGCGGGACCGCUCGUGAGCGACCGCGGGUGCACUGCACCGGGUGCACCUAGCUGGUCCCGGGGUGGAUUUGAAUUGUUUUUUCAGAAAAAUGAUUUCCAGAAAAUGGUUUAAAUGAUAUAAAAUCCAUAUCUUGAGAUUUAUGGCUCCAAAAUUUGUGAAAUAAAUUUUGCUGUGUUCUAAAAUCUUAGAUCUAUAGUUUGGUUUGGUUGCAUGUCAUGUCUGGGCAAUUUUUCUGUGCAAUUAUAUUUAAUCCAUGUUUUUGCUGAAAAUUGUAAAAUGCAUAGUAAUUAAAAUAUAGCUCAGAAAAAUAUGAAACUUGUUUUAUUGGCUCUGCAUGGAUGAUUAGGCUCUAGGAAAAAUAUGUUACACAUUAUUUACUGUAUGAAUUUAUUUAUGGUGAUUUAAAUGCUUGCAUGGCAGUGGUUUAUGAUUUUUAAUAAAUAAUUGGAUCAUGCAAUUCAUCUGGAAAUUUUUGUGGGUGUUUCUUAUGCUAAUAAGUUAAUUAUAAAAAUAUGAAAUCUUCUGUUUGACACUUAUACUACAGUAGAGUAUUUAUACUUGCUUUUAUGAAUUAAUCUUGUGAUUUUUGUAGCCCAAAAUAAAUGUCCAAAUAUUAUGAAAAAUUUAUGGUAGACUUUAUGGUUGACUAGUGAUCUGCUAUAAUUUUUAGGGAAUUUAUGGAUAAGCAGAAAUAUAUGCUACUUUUGUAAGCCUAAAAGUGGAUAAAUAAAUUAUGAAUUUGUUAUAUAUAGAUUAAGUAAAAUAAAAGGGGUUUGGUGUAUCUUUGAAGCAUCUUGUGAGUUUGCUGGUUACACUUGAGGACAAUGUGUAGAAGAGGAGGGAAUAGAUGCUUAAGUGUGAUUGCAUGUUCUUGGAUGAUGUUGACUACCUUGUAAAAAUGACCACUUAAAUCAUCUAUGCAUCAUGUCAUGGUCAUUUGGUACCCUCUCAUAUAAGCAUUGCACCCCGAGCAUCUCACACUCCACUCAUGAGCACACAUGCAUCAUAUAGGCUCGCAGGAGAACGAGGUGGGACCCGAGGAGCAGAAGGAAGCACAGGAGCAGGAACCUCUGGGAUGUCAGAGCCCGGAGAAGUGCUGCAAGAGUGCCCGAAUCACAAGCCGAGCACGUUUGAGAAAGGCAAACCCCAGAGCAUUCUAAGUCUCCCUAUUCUCGCUAACAUAAAUGAUGUCUUAUGCUUGUUUUACUAUAUUGCAUUUAAGUGAUAGGAAUUGCUUGAUACCGUUGAUGCAUAUGUACUCCUUGAUAUCACCACUUGUUUACCUGCCUUGUCCUAUGUAGAUAGGCACGGAGUCUAUGCUUAGCUUGCUUAGUCCGGUAGAAGUCGGGUGAUUUCCUGUCACCUGCGAGAUAUAGGUGGAUACCUGCUUGAUUAGCGGUGAUUGCUUUGGGAAAGGAUAACCAAGUGUGGAAAGGAAUUUGAGACCGGGCAGGGUCUUAUGGUGGGUUGAGCGUAGUGCCCCUGCCUGUGUCGAUUAAGGACGGAUCGUUGACGGCCCUCUUGUCAUGUUGAACGCAUGCCCCACACUUAGCUGGAAGGAUAAGUCGUUCCGACCGUGAAGCCUGAACACUAUCCAGGCCAGGAGUCGAGCCGCCAUGCGCUGUAUUGGUGAUGGUUGAGGAGAACGACGAGGGCGCGACGCGCAACCUUGGUAUACCUUGGAUACCUCGGUCGCCGGAACGGUCCUCGGGUACAGGCGGUGCCUGCCGAACCCGCGAAUUGGUCCUGGAUAGUGUAACACGGUGAUCUGUAGCACACUUGAUCAGUGAGUGUUGUUUGUGUGGGGAAUAACUCGCCAGCUGGUUAGAAACCGAUUCGAAUCGCCAUCGCUCCUGGAUAGUGAGCACUUGACAUGAGCUUCGUCCUCGUAGUAAGGACUAUGGAACACUUGGGUUAUAAUGAUAAGUGAUUUUAUGAAUGCUAUGAUGAGGUACCAUCAUAUUACUACAUUUGUUGCAAUAGUACAGGUGCAAACCUAGAAAUAAGGUAAUGAUAAUAUCGAACUUGAGCUAAUUAAAAGAAGAAAGGUUUUCUUUAGGCUAUGUUAGUGGAACAGUGCUUUUAUGCAAAAAGUCUCAGCUACCCCACCAUAUAGCCUUCAUGAUCCUUGAAGAGUCUUUAUUUUGGUUUAUGACGGGUAAGUCUAGCUGAGUACAUUCUCGUACUCAGGGUUCUACUCCCAUGUUGUUUUACAGAUGGUCAAAUGUAUUAUGGUUAUUGCAUCCUCUGCUUGUACCCAGCAAUGGGCGAUGAUUAGACCAAGGGCGAUGGUCACUAUACCUCCUCUUUUGCUUUUGUGGGAAUGACUCAACUAUGGCACUGUACCGAACUAGAUGUGCGUGUGUGUUACUUUCAAACUAUGAAGCUUCCGCUACUUGAGAACUUGGGUUGUAAUAAUUUUAAGAACUCCGAUGUAUUUUAUGAAUGUUGUGAACUGCAUGUAAUUGUGGAUGGUGCCGCUGAAGUUAUUACGAUCUUGGGUGUAUGUACGAGUUGUGGUUUGAAAUCCUUCGAGAUUUCACGGACUACCGGGAUUAUAUGGGCAUAAGCUCGAUGGUUCGACUGUGUAAACGGUCAGUAUCAAGCUUAAUCUGGUGGUUCUGUUACACACCCCUCCAUGGAAAACUCCUUAUGCGAUCGAUCUUCUGUACUAACCAUUUCAUUUCUGGAAGGCGGUCAUGUGAUAAAUUGGUUGUGCUGAGAGAACCAUCAUGACUAGAGUUUCCCUUUCUGGAAGUAGAUAGUAGCUUCCCUUUCCAUCCUAGCAAUCUUGCACCUAUCUUAUCUAUCAAAGGUUGUACCUCGAUUUUGCGAUGCUUUUGAAUAUGGAGUGGAGACCCAGAUAUUUUCCAAGAAAUUUACAAAUUUUCCCGGGAAAAUUUUGGAGAAGUUGUGUUAUAGUAUUACUAUCCACCUGAAUGGGGAAAACUUCUGUUUUGGAGAUGUUGAUUUUGUGUGCUGAGCAAUCUUCGAAGAAAUUUAGUAAUGUGUAUAGAUGAUCCAAUUCCAAAGCUGAUGGGUCUGCAAAGAUGGUUGCGUCAUCGUCAUAGAGGGAGCAUCAAAGGUUUGCCGUCUUCGGUAGGAUUGGCCUAAGAAUGCCUUUUUGAGCUGCAAUCUCGAUGAUGCGCUGUAGCGGGACAAUUGCCAAAAUGAAUAGUAGUGGGGAUAGGGGGUCUUCCUGCCUCAAUCUAUGGGCGUGUGUAAUCCCUUAGGUUGGUUGACCAUUCACAAGCACCUUUGAUUUUGCUAUUCCUAGUAAAAAGAUGAUAACCAAUCUCUCCAUUUUGUACUAAAUCCCAAAGCUUCCAUGACCUAUAGCAGAAAGCUCCAUCCAAUGGAAUCAAAGGCUUUUUUCAGAUAUCAAGCUUGAUGAAUAAGGCUGAUCUCUUCUUUUUAUGAAGGAGUUGUAUAACUCUUUGGGCAUAUAUAAAAUUGUCAUGUAUGCAUCUUUUCUUGAUGAAGGCAUUUUGAGCAUUGGACACUAAAGAAUUCAUGUGGGGUGUGUCGAUGAAAUAUGGUCAGUAGUCUACCUAGGAUUAUGCACAUGAUAGUAGAUUGUCAGCAGACAGGUGGACAAGCUAUGAACUAGAUGGUGACGCAAGACUUAGACAAGAAUUUUAUCCAAGUUUGGCCGCCGUGAGGGCGUAAUACCUACGCUCUACGUCUGAUUGUAUUGAUUAUAUGAGAUGAGUUUAGUAUGAUCUAUAUGACCUGUCCUCUAGAGGACCCCUACCCCUCCUUAUAUACUAUAAAGGGACAGAGUUACAAGUAAAGUAUCCUAUUUGGUAUAAUACCUUCUUAUAGUCUCACGGUGCACGCCGACCAGCGUUGUGUGCCGCAUGUCUUCAUCUUGUGGGUCGGGCCACCUCUGAUGGUACGGCCCAUGUUGGGCCAUGAGGAUAUAGGGGUUUAUACCCCCACAACUAGUCCCCGAGAGCCAUGUAUUGUGAUGUGACACGCCAUCUUGAGCUUCUUCAACCAGCGUGUUCGACAGUCGAUCACCGUUGAGGUCGAAGAACCAAGUUGUCUGAAGAAUACCUGGUGCUCUUGAGAAAAAAGAUUUUUUUUCCUCAUGAAGUGUGCCCACUUGUAUAUUCACCGUAAGGUGAAGUGUGCCCACUUAGUCUCUGAGUCUGGUACUAGGAGACAUAGGCACGUGGUGCCAGGGUCAAAAAGAAAAUUGCACAUAGAAAUUCUUAUACUGAGAUAUAUUGCCAGAUGCAUCGUACUGAUGUAGUCCUCGAUCUUGCUGGAAGGUGAAGUAUGAGCCUCGUAGCAAGGUCUAAAAAAUUAAAAUCACCUUAGUCUAAUUCAUAUGUAACCGAGAAGAGCGAUCCCUAACCUGUGAUCGGAGAGUGAUCGGAGCAGUCCCCGAGCACAGCGUAGGGAGUGAUCGACGAGUCCCCGAGUGCGGUUGGGAAUGUAAACGUGUUCGGUGGUUGGAGCAGUCCCCGAGUACAGCAUAGGAACUGAUCGACCAGUCCCCGAGCGUGGUUGGGAACGUAAACAUGCUCGGUGGUCGGAGCAGUCUGAGCAUAGGAAUGGUCGAUGAGUCCUCAAACAUAGCUAAUAAAUAUGGAGAAUAGGUACUAUAUGAUAUAUAAUAAACUCUUGAGAAAAAAAUCAGCACAGGUGGUUUUUAGCUUUUUUAUUAUAUUAAAAUUAGCAUAAGUAGUUAAUUUAUUCUAGAGCUUGCACCAGCUCUGGUUUGACCAACAAUCUGGAGCAUGAGGUACGGAGCCGAGGCAUGCGUAGAAUUGUCAGUCUCGCCAGAGAGCUACUGCUGACCACUCGGAACGCAGAGGGUGGAUCUUGUGCAUGUGUGGGGUGGAGUUGGAGACAGUGUCGGCUUUGAAAAACUCGUGUAGGAGAAAAACCUAGUCGGCUAACCAAAAAGUUGUUUUAAAGGAGAAUCAUGUUAAGGACAUUAUAGAAAAUAUUAUGAUAAAAAUAAAUAAAAUAUGAGAAGUGCACUUAUCUUUGUACGGAAGUCUGGUUGGUAGUGAUAAAAUUGUCUGGCCCUCGAGCUUUCUAACAUAUUGUCAUGAUGGUGGUCGCGGUUGUCGUAGCGUCAUUCUUCACGGUGAUUAUUAUUACGACAUGACAUGCGGUCAGAGCAAGUAGGCCAAGCAACUUUGUCGAUAGCCUCGAGCAGGUCGGCAUUGUCGAUCUGCCUCCCUUUAUAGCAGUGAUGCGAGUAACGCGUUAUCGGCGUGGUCAGAGAUGUUGCUGGAGUGGUCAGAUCCAUAGCCAGCGUGGUUGGAGCCGCAGCUGAUGUUGGUGAAAAAGUGAUCGACGCAGAUUAGAUCUGCGCCCCCUCCAUGGCCGUGGCGGUGAAGUUAUCGAGGCCGGUGGUCCAGGUGAUCUGGCUGACAGUGAACGCGAGUCCGUCCGCCACGACCAGAUGAUGACCAUCUGGUUCGCCUGAGAAACUAUAUGCACACCUCCUACCUGGCGCGCCACUGUCGAUGAAAUAUGGUCGGUAGUCUACCUAGGGCUAGGGGUAUACCCAAGGUAGUAGAUUGUCGGCAAACAGGUGCGCAAGCUACAAACUAGAUGGUGACGCAAGACUUAGAUAAGAUUUUUAUCCAGGUUCGGCCGCUGUGAGGGCAUAAUACCUACGUCCUUCGUCUAAUUGUAUUAAUUGAUGAUAUGAGAUGAGUUUAGUAUGAUCUGUAUGACUUAUCCUCUAGGGGUCCUCGCCCCUCCUUAUAUACUGUGAACGGACAGAGUUACAACUAAAGUAUCCUAUUUGAUACAAUAUUUUUUUUGUAGCCUUACGGUGCACGCCAACCAACGUCGUGUGUCGUAUGUCUUGAUCUUGUGGACCAGACCAUCUCCGAUGGUACGGCCCAUGUUGAAACAUGAGGGUAUAGGAGCUAUACCUCCACAGGGUUCGAGACGGUUAGUUAAUAUUUUUGUAACAAGUUUGACCACGUUGUCUAGAAGGCUAAUUGUCUUGUAGGCCGAUGCCGUUUUGAUCUUUGGCAAGAGAACGAUGUUUGCCUCAUUUAUAAAAUGUAAUUUUGCCGUGCGAUGCCUGAAAAAUCUUGGAUGAUAUUUUGUUGGCUUUUUGCAAUGCUGCAAUUCCAAGUGCUUUGAUCUUAAUUCAGAAAAACUGUAUAUUGACGGUUCAGUUAAGUUUUUGGCCAGGUAUAAGGUUGGGAUUGUGCUCUAUCAAGCGUCAGGUGAGUGGCUUCAACCCCAACGGCAAGAAUCAGGUUUGUGUACCUUUAUUCGCAGGAAAGGAGAAGCGCCAAGGUAGCUUGAACGGUUGGUGCAAAGUAAAUGUCGAUGGGGUGUUCACGGAAUGCACAGGCAAAGCAGGGACGGGCGUUGUCAUCAGGCCCGUACCUAGAAUUUUAUGGCUCUGGAACAAAACAUAAUAUAGGGCCUCUAUAUCUCGACAAAUAAAAUAGCUUAGGUUUCAUUAUCUAAUGGUUACAGUUUUCAUUAAUAAGAUCUAUAAUAAGUACUCCAAGGUUCUAUGUUUGUCAACUAAGGCUAGUUUUAAUGAAGUUUUAUUGAAGUUUCAUGGAUAUUAAAUAUGUUACACCAUAUUAAUGAAUAGAGAGCUGAUAAAAGUUUCAUGGAAGUAUAGAUAGUUUUAUGGGAAUGAAACUCUUCUGCACUAUUUUCAAAAUAUAGAUGUGUUGAAAACUGAGCUAUAAAACCUGCAUUGAGGAUGGCCUAAGGUGAUCAUGUUUGUGUAUGUCCGCGCUUUUUUUAUUGUCACGAUUCGCAGCUUCGCCACAACAUUUAUAUCACCUCCAUCGAUACUACUUGCUAUUAGUAAUAGGAACGAUCAAAUCUCUCCAUAAGUGAUCGGUAAAUACUUACAUAGAUUCUUGCAAACUGUGUCAAAAAAACUAAAUAAGCAACUAACACUUAGGCUAAGCUUAAACUAACUAGACUUGAUGACUAAAUAAAUUAGGGGGCCUUAAUUUUUGAGGGCCUGGUGUGGUCGCGCCACUUGCGCUGCCCAAUAUACGGGCCUGGUUGUCAUCAGAGACCACCAUGCGGAGCUGCGCAAGUGCAGAGGAAGCUGAAGCCAUGGCUGUACAAUUCUAGUCGGUAUCAAAGAGAGCGAGCACGACAGACGCCGUGUCAGAAGUCAUGGGUAUUGGUGAUGGAAUGCAACAGUGGAAGGUCAUCCACGUGAAGAGAAAGCAAAAUCGCUGCUUGUGAGAAAGCCCAUUGAAAUAGGAACUCAGCACUCAGCACUCAGCAGUGUGGUGUUUCAAUAUGCCAGGUUGUGUUGAGCAUCUCAUUGCUUAGGUAUGUAAGGGGGUGCUUAAUUCCCUUUCUAUGUCAAAAAAAUUCUGGGUUUUGGUCUAUUAUUUUGUAUAAUGAAAUUAAACACCAUGCAAAAUUUAGCAAAAAGAUGGUUAUUCUCUAUUUUGAAAGCCCCAAAAAGUCUCAAUAGAUCACACUAGUACAAAAGUGCUCAAAGCCAGCGGUGGAACAUAAUUUUUACAGACGGUUUUAAUUAAAAAACACUUAUGAAAAGAAAUUGGCUUACCCGACUACAAAACCGCCUGUGAAAAUCAAUUUUUACAGGCCGCCUGUAGAAAUCAUGUAUUUCUACAGGCGGAUUUCUUAAGAAACUGCCUGUAAAAAUCAUAUUUCUACAGGCGGUUUCUUAAGAAAUCCGCCUGUAGAAAUAAUUUGAACUUGAAUUUUUUGAGUUUUUCAAAUGACCUCGUUUGAGAAAACCGUCAAAAUGAAAGUUGUAGAUCUUGAAAAGUUAUAAAACUUUAUAGUUGAUAAUUUUUUCAUUUGAAAUCAUCUUGUCAUCGAAAACUACGUUUGAAUUUCUCAAAUUUGAAAUUCAAAUUUUGUAAAUGACCUCGGAUGAAGAAACUACCAAUAUAAGAGUUUUAGGUCUUAAAAAGUUGUAAAACUUUGUAAUUGACGACUUUUCCAUUUGAAUCCGUUUAGGACCUCAAAUAAUCAAUUUAUGCUUGGUUUAUGAUAGUAUGCGGGGAACUAACCUCUAUUUCAAUUUGAGUGGUAGAGGAGUGGUAGUUGGAGUGGUAGAGGAGGGUACGCGCGAGGGUGAGGUCUCAGGUUCGAAUCCCACCGGCCGCGUAGCACGCAAUUUUACGCGAAAAAAUGCGCGACUUGCAUAUUUUACGCGAAAAACCAGUGAGCCUUCCCUGAAAAAAUGCGGGCCAAUAACCAGUGAGCCUUCCCUGAAAUAAAAUAUUUUUUUCCUAUUUUUAAAAACUGAUUUCAUAUUUUCUGGAAAAAUAUUUCUACGGGCGGUUGGCGUAACUGAACCGCCUGUAGAAAUACAUUUCCACAGGCGGUUCUCAGUUACCCGCCUGUGGAAAAAUUUAUUUCCACAGGCCACCAAUCACAGGCGGUUCGCGAAACCGCCUGUAAAAAGGGGUUUAGAAUGUAUAGUAUCUCUGUGUACUAGUGUCAUAAUGAGAGCAAUAAAUUCUGUAUUUUAGAUGGAACUAAACAUAACUCUGAAAAAAUUAGCAUUUUGUAUUUUAUCGUUUCAAUAUAGUUGACAUUUUGUAUUUUAUAUUUUAUGGGGAACUAAACACCACCUAAAUCAAACUAUUUUUGAGUAAUAUUUGACCCUCUUUUCUCGGGGAAAAAAAUCGUUUGAGGGACAAUUAACCCCAGUUGCGUGCUAGCCAUCCGCAACUCGCAACUGUGUGGCCAGGCUUAACGGAGUUUCAGUUCAAACAUUUAUUACUUUCUUUGUUCAGUUUGAGAAAUGUUGUGAGGAAUAGUAUUAUGACGUAUGGAUGAGACCAUCAUGAUGCGAUGCAUUACUACUUUUUGCUGUCCUUUUGAAUUAAAAAGUGACAAAUCAUAAAUUGAGGUAAAACUUUUGUAGAUUGCAAAUUUACUGGAGGGGGGGGGGGGGGUGCAGGGUAGAGCUCGAGCGAUGUGCAAUGCCUGAGCAUGUGUGAUGGUGGACCAUGUACAUAUAUAUGAUUGGUUACCUUUGCUUAGGCAAAAUGUCAAGUGUGAAUGUAGAGAGAAGGGGACGUGGGACCACGGUUGGGCUGGACCAAGAAGGAAAAGGGACAAAGAUAGGUCUACGUUGGGUUGGACUAAGAGAGAAAAUGGAUCUCAAGAGUGGAAUUGGCAAGGGAAUAGAUCUCAAGCAGCAGCAACAUAUUCCUGUUGAGCAACCAAUUUUUAUGACAUAUGGACCACAACCAACAGGUUUUCAUCGUUAUUGAGGCUGGUUUAAUCAAGAGCGAGGCGCAUGUUCUACCGUACUUUAGGCCAUAUUACACAAGGUACACAACUCCUAGAUAUUUAGAGAACUUGUCAUAUUACAAAGACCGCUUUGAUCAGAAUCGGUCCGGAGCUCAACCAAAGAAGAAAAUGUUUAAACAAAUUUACCAUGUCAAAAAAGAUGGCCAAAAGGACAAAAGUUCAGAUAUGAAUGCAACUACUGAAAAGGUUGAUUACAUUUUUGAAAAAUCUAGCUAUUGAUGGCAAAGAAGUGGGAAAAUCAUUUAUUGAUAUUCUAGAUGCUGAAUCUGAACAAAAGAAGGUGAAAGUUGCCAUAACCAAAUAAGAUUUGCCGCUGUUCAAAAUAGAAAUGAAACAAAAAUGCUCACUCGCUUUAUUAAAGUGGCGGCCUAGAAGUGCUAAAAGAAAAGGAAUUGGCAUUGGUUCCUAAUAGGAGGCUCAAGUUCAGAAGGAUGAUGCUCAAGUGAAAGGUGCAACAAAGCCAAAUGACAGGAAAUUCAAGAAACAAUUGUCAAGUUGUAGGAUUCAUCAUAAUUAUUGGUCAUGGGUUCAUCCAUAUUCUGUGCAUAUGCCUAUGUGAAAUUCAUUCCUUGGUAUGUUUGGUUUUCUCUUAAUUCUUUAUUUUGAUUCUUGGUAUGGGUCUUUAUAUUAUGAAAGGUUGCCAAAUCAUUUUGCUUAUCAAUGAUUUCAUAUUCUAAGAGCUGAAGUAUUGUAUUUUGUCUAUGUAUACUCGUGUGGAUGGAUUUGUCCGGCCCAUAUUUUGUUAUUUCCCUUAGUGUAAAAGUGUAGCCGAUCAGAGCCGUAGCCAGAGGUGCCAGAGGUGCUAGCAGGGGCCAAGCACUACUAGAGAACAGGGCUUUGGACGAUGCCCGAAAUCUACAAUUAUUUUGGCUUUUUUGCGCCCCGGGGAUAAAAAGAUUUUUAGUCCUGGCCCGUAACACGCGUCGGGACUAAAGGCUCCUGAAAGGUAGCCGUUGGGCAGGAGCCUUUAGUCCCGGCGCGUGUUACGGGCCGGGACUAAAGGGGUCCCUUUAGCCUCGGUUGGUGGCUUGUCCUGGGACUAAGGGGACCCCUUUUAGUCCCUGUUCUUUCUUCAGCCCGGGACUAAAAGCCCACGCUAUAAAUCCCGGUCACUUCUUAUUGAUCGCGACCGAGCCCAUUCAAAUGUUAGUGAACUGUUCUUGCUAGUUCUUGCUCUUGCUAUUGCUAGUUCUUGCUUGUUCUUCAUCUCCGGCGCCCAUUGGUGAUCAUCUUCGACGCCGUCAUCGUUUCCCUCGGUCUAGGGGUAACUAACUUCAUCCUUCCUUGUCAUUUUCAUGUUGUUUUUGUCUUUGUGAUAUUGUCGCCAUUGUUUUGCUUAAAAAUUCAAUGGUUAUAGUUUGAAUCGACGUCACCGGCGCCCAUUGGUGAUCUUCUUCGACUUCGCCAUCGACUCUUCGUGUUUAUAGGUAAAUAGCUUCAUCCUCCGUCGUCAAAAAAAAGUCUCAAAUAAUUAAUUAUUAUAUAAUAUCUUUACAACCCACUAUCAAGUAGGCACAAUAGUGAACCGCUUUUUAACAUGUCAUUAUAAUCCUUUUAAUAAUCACCUCACAUGUUCUCAAUUUCGACGGCAUUGGCAUUGUUGAUAUUGAGUAGCAGGAACAGCUUCUUGAUGUUGCCCUGCAGCGCCAGCAGGAGAAAUAGUGAACUCCUUUGCAGCGUCACCAUGAUGGCCUCGAGGUAGACGAUAGAGUAGACCUCGUGGGCGUGCUCGUCCAUGACGUGCUCGUAUAGACCCACGCUCAUGCUGCGGUAGCUACAGCCAUCGUCGAUGCCCUGUCGAUGGCUGCAGCUACUCGGGCAUGAGUGUGGGUCUGUAUGAGCACGUCAUGGACGAGCACGCCCAUGAGGUCUCCUUCAUCGCCUACCUCGAGGCCUUCAUGGUGACGCUACAAAGGAGCUCGUCAUUUCUCCUACUGGCGUUGCAUGGCAACAUCAUGAAGCUGUUCCUACUGCUCAACAUCAACAAUGCCAAUGGCGUCGAAAUUGAGGACAUGUGAGGUAAUUAUUAAAAGGAUUGUAAUGAUAUGUCAAGAAGCGGUUCACUGUUAUGUCCACUGGGUUGUAAAGAUAUUAUGUAAUAAUUAAUUAUUUGAGACUUUUUUAUGAUGUAUUUAAAUUAAUAUAUGUUUAGUAGUGAUUUAUGAGCUCAAAUUUAUUUGUUAGUUUGAGCAUAGAGUUUAUCAAAUUGACAAGUCUAGCUAAAUUGAUAUUAUAUAUGCAUAAUUUAAGAAAUGAGUAUGGAUAUAUAGUAGAUGGCCACCGGGUCCUCAGUCUCUCCUUACCGGGAUCCAAAGCAUCUGCGGCCGGAUCUUUCUAGCAAAAGAAACAUUGUUAGAAUUGAGGACAAGUCACACAUGUCGGGUGAUUAUGAAAGGGAUGACCGAAUUCCGCCAUUCAAAGUGAACAAAGACCCAAGCAUUUUGUUAAACAAUGAGGACACUCCAUGGUUAAGGGACGAUCAUAAUCAAGGCUCAUAUGUCAAGAAGAAGUUCACUAUUGUCCCGCAUGAUAGUGGGUUGUAAAGAUAUUAUGUAAUAAUUAAUUAAUUGAGACUCUAUGUGAUCCAAGACUUUGUGACUAGAGUUUACAAACACUUUCUCAAAUGCAAAAAUGUUCUAUGUAUGGAAUGUGUAUCUUGAUGAGCUCUAACUACCUUGUAUUCAAAAGUUUUCUAUUUGAGGUCAUUUAGUGCCUUGUUUGACCUAGUUUGACCAAGUCAAACAUUGGAUUUUUCAGAAAAAAAAUACUUUCACCGAACCCUAGAUGGUCUCAGCUACAGAACUCAUGAAUACAAAGUUUGUCCACCUUAUCAAGAUACACAUUUGGUGUAAUGGUCAACUUUUCAUCUGAGAGGGUUUGGACCACUCAAAUUUUGAAAUUUCAAAUUUUCACGGCUACACGCACAUUUUCGGGACCAUAGACGGCCUCAACUCGAAAAGUCAUUACUCGCAAGUUUGUUCAACUCUUCAAGAUCUACAUUUGAUACAUACGACAUUUUUGCAUUUGACAAAGCGUUAUGAAAGUGGAGUUCUAAAUCUACAGGUCCCGCGUAUAGUUUUAUAAAGUCUCUGUGUGAUUCAAGACUUUGUGACUAGAGUUUACAAACACUUUCUCAAAUGCAAAAAUGUCCUAAGUAUGAAAUGUGUAUCUUAAUGAGCUCUAACUUUCUUGUAUUCAAAAGUUUUUCAUUUGAGGUCAUUUAGUGCCUUGUUUGACCAGGUUUGACCAAGUCACCUCGUGGGUUUUCAAAACAUGUCACUAGAGUUUACUAGAACUUUUCUAAAUUCAAAAUUAUACUAUGUAUCAAAGGUAGAUCUUGAUGAGCUCUAACUACCUUGUAUUAAAAAGUUUUUUAUUUGAGGCCAUUUAGUGCCUUGUUUGACCUAGUUUGACCAAGUCAAACAUUGGAUUUUUCAGAAAAAACACUUUGACCAGACCCUAGAUGGCCUUACCUAGAAAAGUCAUGAAUACAAAGUUUGUCUACCUUAUCAAGAUACACAUUUGGUGUAAUGAGGGUUUGGACCACUCAAAUUUUGAAAUUUCAAAUUUUCACGGCUACACGCACGUUUUUGGGACCCUAAACGGCCCCAACUCGAAAAGUCAUGAAUAGCAAGUUUGUUCCACUCAUCAAGAUCUACAUUUGAUAUAUAGGACAUAUUUGCAUUUGAAAAAGCGUUAUGAAAGUGCAGUUCUAAAUCCUCAGGUCCCGCAUAUAGUUUCAUAAAGUCUUUGUGCUUCAAGACUUCGUGACUAGAGUUUACAAACACUUUCUCAAAUGCAAAAAUGUACUAUGUAUCAAAGGUAGAGCUUGGUGAGGUUGAACUCCUUUGUAUUCAAAAGUUUUUCAUUUGAGGUCUUUUAUUGCCUAGUUUGACCAAGUCAAAUAUUGGAUUAACGUUCAAAUGAUGUGAAAAUAAAUUUAUGUGGACCUCUAGGUUAUAAAUAAAUUAUUAAAUGAUGUGAAAAUAAAUUUCCCAUUAGAAACCAACAAUUGUUUGAAUUAUAGUUGAACAAAAUAUUUUUGCAUUAACAAAAUACUUAAUAUUAGGAAAAUUUGUGUUUAAUAUUUUCAAAAAAACAAAGAGAUUUUAAGUUACAAUUUUUUACUAAGUAAAUUAAAGCAAAAGUAAACACAUAUUAUUUUUUGAAGAAAUUAUGUCAAGUAUUUAAUUUUCUGUAUAUUUAACAAAGUUUUAGCCUUUAAAUAAAAAAAAACAAAAUUAAAAAACCCAAAACUAAUGUAACUGGGUCUGUGGAAAAUUUUGAGCCUUUAGUCCCGGACUUUGCCCCCAAAAUUUUCCAGAGCCCGCGCGCGGGGAGACCUUUAGUCCCAGCUGGUGGAUCGGCCUGAGACUAAAGACCACCCUUUAGUCCCGGCUCUUAUCAUCGGCCAGGACUAAAGGGUUUUUAGUCCCAGGCCUAUCUAUCAGGCGGGACUAAAGGUCCCCCCACUAUAAGUCCCCUCAUCUUUCUUCAGCCAAGAUCAGCCUAAGUCCCCUCGUCUUUCUUCAGCUGCUGCCGUUGCGCCUCAAUCUUCUCCGGCCACCGCCGCGUGCUAUGGUCUUCUCCGGCCACCUCCGCGCGCUCCUCGGUGGCCCCGUCUUCUCCGGCCACCGCGCGCUCCUUGGCGGCCCCGUCUUCUCUGGCCAUCGUACCGCGUCCCCCGCGUGUGUGUGCGCGCGCGUCUUCUCUGGUCGGCCACCGCCUCGUCUCCGACCACCACGUGCGCGCCUCGAGCUCUCGAGCACCGCCGCCCCCGGCACGCGCUCCUUCGGCCACUGCGCCACCAUUUUUUUCUCUAGCCACUGCACUGAGCUUUUAAGAAAGAACUCGAGAGGUUGUUCAAAAAAUGACAGAUUUAUGUUAUGUUAUUGUAUAAAUUCACAAGUUAUGUUAUUGUAUAAAUUCAUUUGUUUGUGGCAAAUAUUAUCCAAUCAUAGACUAACUAGGGUUAAAAGAUUUGUCUCGUGAUUUACGAGCAAACUGUGUAAUUAAUUUUUAUUUUGGUCUAUAUUAAUGUUUCAUCCAUAUGUCGUAAGAUUCGAUGUGACAGGGAAUCUUGAAAAAUUUUUGGUUUCUGGGUGAUCUAAACAAGGCCUAUGUUAUUGGAUAAAUUGAUGUUAGAUACUAUUAUUAUUUCAUAUGAUUUGUCCAUGGUAUAUUGUAGGUUUAUUAGUUUGUUUAAGGGAGAUUUUGAUCUGUCGCACAUUACAUGCGCAUUAUGUCAUUAUGUGUUUUCCUUCUUGCAUUAUACAAACCUAUGGUGAGCUAGGAAAUCAAAUUGGCUUACCAAUUUCAUUUGUGCUGAUAUAUGUAUUCCAAAUAAAACCAAUUUGGGUGAAUAUAUUUUUUUUUGCAAGCACAAUUUGGGUGAAUAUAUAUUUUUUCCUCAUCUUUUUAAGAAUUGUGUGGAAUUGCAUGGUUUUCCACCUGUAAAUAUAAUUGUAUGUAUUACUAUAUACUUCCUCUGUCCAUGAAAGAAUAUAUGGACCAACUGAACAACUUACACUCCGAUCCCCUUCUCUAGGAAAAAAAUAAUAUUGUCUCGUGAUUUUUUAUUUGACAAAUAUUGUCUAAUCAAGGAGUAACUAGACUUAAAAGAUUCAUCUAUAUUUAAUGCUCCAUGCUUGACUAGUAUAUAGUUUUUAUCUAUAUUUAAUGCUUCAUACAUGUGCAGCAAAUCGAGAGUGAACUAAACAAGGCUCCAUGCUUAUAUAUAUAGACAACUGUCGAUCCAAGGGAUCAACAAAUCGAUGAUGAGGCCAUCAUGACGAAUCUCAUCGCUGGUGGUGACGAACAAAUCGAGGGUGAUGAUGUGGGAGUCGAUACUUGCGGGCAGAUUAUGAGGAGAUCAUGCAGAGAUCCUUCCCGCCACCUAAUGAGCAACAAAUUAUCGAUCAAGCCAAUACUGGCAAGGUAUAUUAAUUAUACAUGUUUAUUAGGGAUUAGGGUUAGGGCUUAGGCCAGGUUUAGACUUUAGGGUAUAUUGCAUCUUGUAUUAAUUUCAUCUUCGUGUCUUUAUAUAUGUUGCCCUCUAGAUCGACAUCUACGACUGGGAAGAGCAGACCGGUUUGAGGGCUAAGAGCGUCUCCAAGGGACUUUGCAAAUGAAUUUUGCAUUUGGUGUUGUUUGCAAAGUCCCAAACUCAUUUGUAAAGUCUAAAAAAAGUCUAAAAAUUUAGACUUGGCAAACCCAAAGUGUGGACCUCACCCCCGAUUUUUUUUUCAUCGAUCGCGCCUGCGCGUUUUUUUUCCUUCGCGCCAUUUUGACGUACGCGCGCACGGCAGCUGGAGGAACGGCGGGCACGCGUGGCAGCUGGAGGUCAGGCGCGCGCGAUAGGGAGGGCGGGCGGGCGCGGCAGGGAGGGCGGAUGGGCGUAGAGAAAUCGCGCGGGGUGGGGGGCGAGGGGACGGAGUCCGACGUGGAAGGCCGAAAUUGUAGAUGCAAAGUGGUGGGAAGGUUUGCAUAUAUGCAAAGCCUCAACCUCUAUUUGCAAAGUUAACCAAAUUGCAAACCUUAUUUGCAAAACCAUUGGAGGGGUAUUUUCUACUCUUUUUUGCAAAUAGAGCAAUGCAAAGUUUGUUUGCAAAGCCCUUGAAGAUGCUACAGGCCAACUACUAGGACCACAUGCAAAGACAUAGGAGGGCCGUCUCGUAAUCUCCGAAUUCGACGAGGCUACAGGCCAACUACUAGGACCACAUGCAAAGACAUAUGUCGGUCAUUGUGGUUACCUGGUGAGGGAUAGGAUACCGAUCAGUGCUCCAGAAUGGAAGAAGAAGCCAAGUGCUCCUCAUACCAUUUUUAUGUCCGAUCGUGAUAAAUCCGACAUAUGGACUAACAUCGGACACCAUUUCAUGUUCAACACGAACAAUGACGAGCUGAAGGAGAGAAUCCGAGAGUGGACAAUGAAGAAGAUGGCAACACUUUUUCAGGCUUGGAAGAAGAACUUGUACACCAAGUUUGUGAAGAAGAACGAGACGCCAAAUUUCAGCACCAAGGCGUAUGCCAAGCUAAGGCCCUUUUGAGACGAAUUCGUGUAGUACAAAACAUCAGAAGAGAGCGAAGCUAUUAUCAGGAGGAACAAAGAGAAUGCUACAAAGAAGAAAUACCACCAUCAUCUGGGAUCAGGUGGCUAUAUGAGUGCCAUUCCAAAGUGGGAGAGAAUGGAAUGGGAGAUGAUGGCCGCGGGGUAGUACCUCAGACAAUAUGGGAGAAUUGGGCUGAACGCUCGAAGCAAUGGUUAUACGGUCAUGGGGGAACCGUAGAUCCCAUAACUGGGUUGCUAGAUUGGGGCCUAGAAAUCUCAAGAGCAACAGAGAGGCUAGUUCAUGCAUGAGUAGAGGUUGCAUCUGGUUUAUUCAAGCCCAAUAGAGAGAAGGAUGAACUCAUGUACACCCUUGAAAAUCUAGUUCCUUCCCAGCUGAUUGAGGAACUUAUAGAAGUCGCCAGAGAAAGGAGGAGGAGGUAGAGCGGAUUCGUUGGAGGUGUUUAUGCAUAGCUCGCAAGAGUGUGAAAGAAGUUGAGAGGAAUGGAUGCAGGAGGAGAUCAAGAGGCAAGUGCAAGCAGCAAUUAGUUCUAUGACGAGAGGGGGGCUACAUCAUCAUAGCCGGCAAACAUCAACAUUAGCCCCCCAGGUCAGUUGAAGAGCAGCUGCGCCUCCACAGAAGUACGAACCGCCUAAGCUAACGUGAAGCUAUGGUUCCUCAUGGAUGACCUCACAGAACAAGUUAAUUCGUGUGAGCUGCACAUUCCAGAAGGAACCGGGAUGAAGAAGCUGGUGGUCAGUGUUGUAAAUGCUAUCGACCGGACGAGGACACCAAGAAUCUAUGGUCAACUAGUACCAGAAGGAUAUGCUUGUGUCUCGGUAGAUAGGGUGGAGAGAGGUUGUGUCAGCAUGCCUCUCGACAUUGAAGGGGCAGAUGGGGAGAAGACUCUAGGUGAGGCGGAGAAGACAUUCAUUUGUUGGCGUAAGCGCUUCAUCAUCAUUCCUGGCGUCUCACCGCCGCCACCUCGUCUUACUGAUGAUCAAGAUCCUCAGCAUAGGUGCGUAGAUUCAAAAACAAUUUAUUCGCUAACAUCCUAUAUAUAUGUAUAUAUUGAAUUCUAAAAUAUAUAGCUUAUAAAUACUCACAACAUUCGUUGUUUUCCUAGCAGGAACUUCAAUCCAAGUAUUCAUUCCCCAGCGCAUCAUAGUGCUGUGGGUGGUGAAGAUGCAUUGGAGGACAUGACUGCAACCCCAUCUCCUCCACAACGGUCUCCAACACCACCACAGGCCGCACCCACCCUGCCACCGCCUUCACCACUGCCUCUAACACGGUCUCAAAUGCUGCCACGGGCCGCACCAUCCCUGCCACCGCCACCACCUCAAGCCAGUAAGAAGAGGUCCGCCCCAGCACCAAAGGCUUCGGUCCCACAUCCUACAAAGAAGCAGGCUCAUGCUCCCUCUGGUAAAAAAGCAGCCAAUGAAAAGUUGUCUUAUGAGAAGAGUGACAAGGACCUAAUUGCAUCGGUUGCUUCAGAUGUGAAAGCACACUUUGAAAAAAACUAAAAAGGAAAUUGAAGCGAAGCGGAACCCUAAAAAGCCAUACCUCUUCUUACCAAAAGGGAAGCUGAGGAAGAGGGUGGAAGAGCACAACCGAAAAAUGCACGAAGCUCGAAAGCCUGUGCCAAAGUCGGACUAUGAACGCCAACUACUAAAAGCUGUAAAAGCUCAACCCGCUAAGAAGAAAGCAGGAAAGGGUGUUCCACAGCUCAGGGACACAUCAAGACCUUUGUCCCCGUUAAUUGUGGUAGAUCAGUAUGGUUCAAAUGUGGGCGUAGUAUAGAGGAAAUUUGGAGAGCCCACUUUGUCUAAGAUGGACUCACUUGAAAAUUAUUUCAUUAAGAGCGGUCUCCCGUACUCCACAAUUAAAAAUAUUGCUGCUGGGCUAGAGUUUCCAUGAGUGGAAGUAGUUGAUGAAUGGAGGAAAAAUUUUGCACCGGGCAGGAGUCUAAUGAUCCAAGCACCUACAUGUACUCAGUACAUAGAUGUUUGCAAUCAACAAUUGGUCCAUGGAGGCUUCUAAAGGCGGAGUUGAUUGGAUUUCUGUUCGAAUUAGAAACCAUCACUACUACCGUUGCGAUGACCUUAUCUUAGUCCAGAUGAGCGAAUUACACCAGCUAUGCCACAUGGACGCUCUGGACAAAUCACUCAUUAGCUGCUUUUAUUUAUAAGUAUUUCUUUGUUUUUAUUAAACUCUCUAGCAUGUCUAUAUAGUAGUAAUCCUUACACACGUACUUGUCGAUGGGCUCACUAUAUGCAGGCUCCAAAUGACUGAGCUCAGAUCCAAAAACGACAAUACUCUUGGAUUUGUUGAUCCUUACGUUGUUUUCAAGGAGCCAAACCCUUCUGCGACUUGGAUCAAUGACAUGUGUACGAAUCUUAUGAGGUUCUUCGUGAACCAAAAAGACAAAAAAAGAAUACUCUUCCCCUACAACUUUAGGUGAGUUAUAUAUAUAGUUAACAUGCAAGUGUACUAGAGCUGACGGCUCUCCAAGUGUGAAGCUUGGAAAAGAAUCUCCUCGGCAUCGGCUGGAAUUUGGUCACGAAGAGUCUUGAAUAGAGCUUUGGCUGGAUCAGAAUCGUCCACCAAUUGAGUAGUGUCUUGGUGUAACAAGGCCAGCAGGUCUUCCAGUUUGGCUCUGAUUUCUACCGAUGAGAUCCCUAUUGCUUGGGAGGAGCUUGCUUCUUCGCCCUCAUCAUCGGAAAUCUCAAUGGCGAAGGAAAAUAAGCUAUCCGGAGAGUCUUGUUCCUGAAAGAAAAUAAGAUAAGUUAUUUGAUGAUCGAAUAUUAGUAAUAAAGGGUGGAAGUCAGAUGACUUACUUGCUUCAAAGCUAUCUCACGCCUCUGGCUGAUUGAUGCCGUCGGUACCACAUGUUGAUCGGCUGGAGUUGCUGAUGGAACAAUGCUAAUUGAGAAAUAGUGAGAGUAAUUAUGAAUUGAAAAAAUAUGAAUCCAUCGGUGGUAAUUUUAUGAUCAGUAUUUUACCUUGAGGGGGUGUAGUGCUUGUCUGUUCUGGAGGAACAACCGAUGAUAUGAUUAGAUCCGCUGGAUCGGCAGUCUGCUCAAGCACAUCGGCUAGCGCUUCUUCUGGCUGAGGUACUGAUUGAGAAGGGGACGGUGCUUGCUAUGUCUGGAUUUUUGGAGAAGAGGGGGAUGAUUCCACAUGAAUCGGUGAUACUGGACGAGGAGGAGAAGGCGGUGCUGUCUUCUGGCGUUUUGGUUGCGCCUUAGUGCUUUUGGGACCUUUUCUCUUGGCUUGGCUGGGCUGGGGGGCAUCGGCCCUUGUUUGAGCACUUCUGGUUCUUGCGAAUUUGCUGGCCUGCUGUUACAACAACAAAAAUUUCAUGAGUACAAACAUAACAGAAUAGUGAUGAAAUCUUGUUGAACAGUAAAAGUUACCGAUGAAGUUCCCAUAGCAGCCGAUGUGUCCUGAAAAGCUUGUGUGAGUAUAGAAUGGAAUUGGUAUAAGCAGAGGAAAUCAAAAGUAUACCUUGAAAGCUUGUGCCAAGGUAGCCGCAGCAAACGUUGGAGAUGUCUUUGACCGCCUGGUGGUUAUCUUCUUGAAACGCACAUUCUGAUGCAUUAGAGCUGCCAGGCUUGGUGCGUUGUUGCCGAUCACAGAAAUUGGGCGUGACGGGAGAAGUUCAAUCAGCCUUCCACUUCUGCUGAUUGUCGGUGGUGGGUUGUCGAUCUGUUUAAAAAGGAAAGUGUGAAUUACCGAUGGGGAUAAAAGCAACAAAAAGAGUCGAAAUAUUAGUUGAAAACUUACGAUGUUAUCGGGGACCUUGUACUUAGGGUCGAUCAUGCCACGGUAUGUUAGAGCCGAUGUGCAGAACAGGUGUUCCUUCCACUCUUCCCACCACUGCUUGUACAUCUGAGUAAUGAGAAGGGCUGGGAUCCAUGUUGAUAAAUCAAUGUCUGACGUAUCGGCAUUUGGCUGAAGAAGAGCUAUUCUUAUCCACUCAAGUCCGCUGGUUAUGGUCUCCCUUGGCUUCACUACAUCAGCAUAGCAGAGUCCAAUCGGCACCUGUCCAAAAGCUAGUUGACAAGCCAGUGCCGAUGGGUUAUAGAACUCAUAGGUGGGGUUGGAAGUCUUCCCACUGCCAAAGAAAUUCACUGGUAUGGCCCUUGGAGAAAUAAUUGCCAUCAUCAGGUCAUGGUCCUUAUUAAGGGCGUCAUCAAAAGGGUGGAAAGUGAGCGGAAAUCUGGUUUCUAGAUCCUCAUAAGGCAUCCAUGCCCGCUGAUCUUUGGCAAGACCCUCAUAGAGAGUUUGGAAGAAUCGGCUGACCUGGUCUUUGUUGCCACAAGUACCAGAUAAAACUAUGGCAGCUUCACCAUAGUUCAAGGGUGAGCGAGUUGUCGAUUCUUCAUCAUCCAAUUCAUGAUCUUCAGCGAUGUCUCUGGGAAAACACUGUGCAAAGAGGUCAAAUCCGAGGCGUUUGUGCAUGUGAACACUGAGCCACAUGUUGAUGAACCACUGUUGACGGUCCUUAAUGCUCAUAUUUAACCAUCAAGUAAUCAUGGAAAAGGAUCCAAAUGCAACCAACACCUAGACUUAGGGUUUUAUCUGACAGAAUUCCACGAGUUUUGGUGUUUGUCUAUUUCUGCAGGGGGUUAUUAGGAAAUAUGGAGGAAAGGCCCACACGUCGGGUUUACAUAGAGAUAUUAACGUGCCGCGCAAUUUUCUACCAUCUAGAAGACUCCAAAAGCCACGGGAAGGAAGCGGAGGCCGAGAGGACUCAGGGACAGGGCGCCCGCCCUCCUUUCCUGGGCGCCCGCCCUCAACCAGAGUCCAAUCAGGACUCUCUUUCGGGAUAUUGCUCCACCGACCUAAAGGAUCAAGGAUAACCAUUCAAUCAAUGUCGGUUUGAUCCAACGGCCUAGAUUCACUUGAAGGGACUAUAAAACCAGACCCCCUGGCCCCUGGAGAUCAUACCUCUUCUACAGAAUCAAAGCUAGGGUUUCAAUUCUUCAUCCAAGUAGAGAGGAUCCCUCUAGUUCUUCUAGUUCUAUCUCUAGUUCAUCUAGAUCUAGUUCUAGUUCAUCUAGUUCUAGUUCUAGUUCCUCUAGUUCUAGUUCUAGUUAGUUCUAGUUGUAAUAUAGAAAAUAGGGAGAGAGAAGAGGAGAGCGGAGGAGGAGCCGGGUCUGUCGGAUCUUCCUCAACAUUGUACUUUUGCAGCAACUAGUUCGUCCUUCAUCAUUCUCUAGGUUCUUCAAUUUAUAAUUCCUGAGAUCUCUAAUUACUUUUAUUUACAUUCAAAUUAUUUAUUGGAUUCCCGCUUGCAUCAAGUGCACUAGUCUUUAUAACGCUAGAGUAGUAAUUAAUAGAUUAGACGUGGUGUUUAGUCUUGCAAUUACCUGUAAUUGCACCCAAUCCUGCGGAUUGUUGUGGUAGCCUUAGGGUAGUGACAGCCCUAACGGUCGACGUAUUCUACCACGUUCGGAUCGGUGUUUGUAGGACCGUAGUCAGACCUUCCUAGCCCCCUUCUCAUCUCUUUCUGUGGUUAGUGCUCUGAUGUCCCGAUAUAGAUAAUCUUGAAGUAAUUCUUGAUUCUUAGAUCAACUAGAGAACUCUCAGGAAACUUCCUCUCUUCCCACCAAAAAUAAUUAUAUAGUUAUCCUUGGGCGAUCUUGGAUCUUAAUUAGUACACUCACGUUCCCUGUGGAAAAUCGACACUCUGGAAUACUCCCGGGUGAAGGUUACAUCGGUAUCCGUGUGCUUGCGGUUUUUUCUGUUUGCGUUUAAAAUACCCAACAAGCUUUCUGGCGCCAUUGCCGGGGAACGGUAGUUGUGCUAGUUUCGAACCAAGUCGUCCGUGUAUCCUUUUUCUUUUCCUUUUUUACCACACUCACCUUAUCAUUUUCACCACACCACAUGGAUUUCACUCUAAGCAUUAAUGAGCAUGGAAUUUAUUUCAUAGCCACUUCAUUUGCUCCAUGCUCAUAUGCAACAUCUUCAAAAUCCAUUGGUCUCUCCAACCUCACCACAUUCGAGAUCUCCAACCCCCUCAUCCUUUCUAUUUAUAAAAAUUUUAAAAGGGCGGUUGUCGAUGCAUAUGUCUAUAAGAAAUAUUGUAGAUCUCGUUGAGUUGAUCUUGAUAUAGGUCAGCGUUGGAGGGGAAACCACUUCGCCGACAUAAACUGAUGGUUUCCCAAGGAUAAGCUUAGUGUCCUAAAACAAGCACUAAUUAGAUCAUAACAUGAGCUUUUAAUUAUUUGCAACAUUACCUUGUGUAUUGAGCAUAUAAGGAUAAUUGUAAAAAUAUUCCUUCGGGUAUUCUUGUCACUAACCUUUCCAGGAUUGGAGCAAGAAGAUUGGAUGAAUGACAAGCACAAGGUAUGUCCAACCAAUCAUCAUACAACAUUGAGUUAAAUUCAUCCAAACUUGAAUUUUGCAAAAUUCAAGCUUGGGGGAGUACUUUAAAUAAAAACAUCCUUUGCCAUGUUGCUAUGUUGGUUGUCCCUACCUUUGAGACAUGCUCAAUUUGUUAAAUACUAAUCACACUACUUCAUCUCCACUUGAGUAGAUCUCUAUAAAUGCUCUCAUGCUAACUUUAUUUGCUUUAGUAUAUGUCUAGGUUUGGAGUAGUUUCAUUUAUCUCUUAAUUAAGCAUGGUGCGUAGUUUAGGGCUGAUGAUCUUACUUCCAAGGGAUUUUAAAUUAAGCAUGGUGCUUAGGUUAAAAUGCCCUCCUAAAUCAAAUUAGACAUGGUGUCUAGGUUGAUUUUUGAGCCGAUAGUAUGCUAUAGUAGAUAUUGGAUAUUUUGUUGGACUAACCCCUAUAGGAAAACUUUCAAUAUCGACCUGGGAAGUCCUGAGAUAAACUCACAUUGGAGACAAAGAGAGAGGCACAUGAAGGUUAACAAUUUACACAAGGAAGGCAUAGCCCACAAGAGAUGAUCCAUGGAGGGUGCCACAAACACGAUGCACAACCGCUAAGAAAGGAAAGCUUCCACAAGGUGAUACUGUACCGUCACUCUUCAAGUAAGGUAACAUCUUAAGGUACUUGACUAUCACUUCUAUAAGUUUCUCCUUGGUUCUGGCGUUCACAUGAAUAAAAGAGACAAACACGUAUGAUUUAUAACUCCAAAUUAACCAACCGAACUGAUUCAACAUGUUUUGUCCUUCCACCUUUGUGAUCCCACACUCCUAAUCAUAUGAGCUAAAGUGUUGCACACUCAGUCUUUGGAAGAUAUAUAUAUAAAAAGAGAAAACACAUAAGUAUAGAUAGAUUAUCUUUCCAUUAGGUUGAGCAAUCUGAUCUAACAAAUGUUUUAAAUGCUACACUCAUGAUCUUAUUAUCCAUCAACUUUGUCUUGCUCACUAUGCUUAAGGUUAGAGAGAACAAAUACACUUUUGGUUCUGUUGGUGUUUUCCACCAACAGGGCUCAUGCACUUGAUCUCUGCCUUGUCUCUAUAAGCAGGUACACUUCGAACAAAAUAUGAAGGAGUUUUACAACUCCCAGACUCCACCAAGUGAAGAACCUAGAUCUACGAGCACAAACACAUUGGAGAUACUGGACACUCAGGCAAUCACUGCCCUAAGAUGCUUGAGGACGUAACUACUAGAGUAACCCCAUUGUGGAAGUAAUUACUGACCUUCUACCGGUCAAGAGAGACAACUCAGGACGCCCCAUCAUCCCGAUCUCCAUCGGCAUGGUGGACUUCCCAGAAGCACUCUGCGACUUUGGCUCUAGCGUCAACAUUAUGCCCAGGGUACUCUAUGAAAAAUUCUUUACACAUCCUUUAUUAGAAACAGCCAUGUGUUUGCAGCUUGCAGAUCGUACGCUAAGUUUCCCAAAGAGAAUAUUGAAGAACCUCUACAUCCGAGUUGGUACCUUAUAUGCUCCAGCAGACUUCGUGGUGAUAGAGACUGAUACUGAUGAGAGGGCACCCAUCAUCUUAGGGAGGCCAUUCCUAAACACCUCAGGAGCUGUCAUCUACGCUAGUGCUGCCAAGAUCAGUUUCUACAUCAAGGGAGGGAAGAAGACGUUUUCCUUAAAAAACAAGACUACACAAUUCUCAGAGCAAUCCUGACAUGAACUAAGGAAGAGGACCAAUAGGAGGAACAGAAACUAGCAAAUGUGGACCGAGUCAGCUAAGAUGGUCACUGCAGUUCAAGGAAGUCAAGAUCGUCGACUUAAGUCACCGUUUAUGACCAAAAAGGAUGACCCAGUCACCAAUCAGCUCCUGUUCGGAACCAUGCCCCUAAAACCGACAUACAUUCAGCUUCAGAUGGCACAUCAGACGUUCCGAAAGGUUGAAGACGAGUACGAUCCAUCCAUCAUCCUUAGGAGACCGUUCCUCAGCACCGUUAAAGCAAUCAUCAACAUUGGAACUGGAGAAGUCCACAUGCACUUCCUCUCUGAGAAGGUACGCCGCUAUUUUACUGACCCUAACUAUAUAGUUGAAGACUCUAAGCAGGUCAGGACAAGAAGAAGACGACGCAACCGCAACCAGAGAAGGCAAAUCAUCAAGGAUGGAUGGGCGGACUACGAAGGAGAAGUUGUAAGGUCUGAAGACAUACAACUUGAACAGAACUGUCCUGAGGAGACCAUAGCACCGAGUCAGGUGUGGAGAGAGAAGAUAGUUAUAUAUGAAGACCAGGCGCUGCCGGAACCACCGACUACGCCAUCCAGCGAAUCCCAGGACGAGCGAAUCCUAGGACGACUAAGAAAACGAAGUCCGGUUCGGAGGACUUAAAAACACCGAACGCCUUGCCAAGAGGUAAACUUGGUAGUUAUCUUUUUCCCUUCAAUUAUUUAAAAUAGUUUGCUUAGUUAAUCAGGUUCAUACCAUAUUGAAAAGAAAAUAAAAAUGUUAACAAUAGUAAGCCCCAUGUGAGUAUGCUCAUGGCAUAAAACCCAUAAAUACAUUCACUGUGGUGACAUUCAAAUACACCUCCGCCACCUACUAGCUACAUCAGGAGAAAUUACGUCAAAAUCCAGCUUGGGGGAGAGUGCCCCCAUUUAUCCAGCUAAGUGUUCUACUCACGUUUAAACUUUACUCAAAUAAUAAAAAGAUGCAUAAUCAUAAAAACCUAAAUAAAGAUUUUGUGCUUAUAUAUAUCUUUGCUUAGUUUGCUAAAUAAAUAAAUAAAUAAAGUUUGCUAUGAACCCUCAUGAUAAGCUCUCACAUGGAAAUGAUAAAUAGUUGCUCUGCCAUGACUAGUUCUCAAAAUUGAAAUCUCUCUCAAGUUUAGGCAUGACUGUUAUUAAUUAAGAUUUGCUCUAAAUCUGAACUUGUGGGAAGAGUACUUGAUCUAAAGUCUAAGUCAUUAACGGAUGCGAUAUGGGAAGGUUGAGCUACUGUUUAUCUGUUCCUAGAGAUGCUAGAAUUCUAGAGAAUUUUUUCUUUGAAAAUCUUUAAAAUGUUGCAUGAUGAGUUCCUGUAUGAUGAGAGUUUAAAUUCCUACCACAGCCAUAUAUACAUGCUUAUUAGACUAUGAACCACACAUUUACUUUACUACUUAUGAGCAUUGAGUGUGGUCAAGCUGUGUAGACCCUUAGGAGCUUGUCAUGUGGUUAAAUCAAGAUUCACUUGCACGUUCACUCAUACAUGCUGCUUCUACUCCGGAAGUACGCAUCCACAUGUAUCCACUCAUUUCCAUCACCAGAAUCACAUAAAAAUAUUCUACUCCUAAUCCGGGAGAGAAUAGCCAAAAACAUUUAUAUUUUUCCCCUGUGAAAUAAAUGCUCAAGUUAUCUUGGUUACUACCACUUGCUAUAUUAUUUCGAGAGAUGAGUGCUCUAAUUAAAAAAAAGAGAGAGAAAGAGAAAAAAAAGUGAAUACGAGGAAAUAAAAAGGGGCAAGUGCCCGGAACCUCGAAGAAAAGAAAAAGUGAGACGAGAGGUAAAAAUAGACAAGUGUCCGACAGUAGAAUUAGGGGUACAAGAUACCCACCUGAGAGAAAAGAAAAAAAAGAAAGAAAAUAUAGAGCAUCUCAUUCCCCUCAAAAAACUUCAAAGUGCAAGAAAGGUAUGUAUCCCCUCAAAAGAGCAAACAUAGAAUUAGACUUUCACCAUUGUUAUCACCAUCAUCACCAUACACCAUUCAUUCGCCACACAUGCACAUCUUGAUUUGACUUAUUGACUUGUUCUUCUGGAUCCAUGGUUUGACUAUGCAAUAAAUGUCUUGUAAGUAUGUAUUAGCUGUCUCCCACCUAUGAGCUCUAGAUAUCAAAACCUUAUUAGAGUAGGGUGAGAGAGAAGGCAAUGCCACUAUGCCUCAUACUAAAAAUACCACAUACUUUGAGAGAAGGCAUACACCAUUACUGCCUUGGUAAGGAUCCAGAAAUACCACAAAAGAGAGACUAGAGAGAGUCAUACAAGGAAUCUCUGAGUUUUAUUUGAAAAUCUGCAAAAACUCCAGAGCUAUAGCUGAUCAAGAAUAAGAGACAUGGUGCUUGACGAGACCGUUGUAUCUUUUAACUGCUCAAGACACAGGUGACGGUUGCAAGCCCCAUGGUGGAAGGUAAAAUGAGUAAAUUUAAAUCUUAACAGUUUAUCCUAACCCAGAGAUGAGAUCUUGUUUGAACGCAUGUGUAUCUUUAAGGCAUGAAACCACUGCAGAAACUCUUGAGUUCAUCUUUGCUCAGGGACGAGCAAAGGUUAAGCUUGGGGGAGCUUGUUGACGGUCCUUAAUGCUCAUAUUUAACCAUCAAGUAAUCAUGGAAAAGGAUCCAAAUGCAACCAACACCUAGACUUAGGGUUUUAUCUGACAGAAUUCCACGAGUUUUGGUGUUUGUCUAUUUCUGCAGGGGGUUAUCAGGAAAUAUGGAGGAAAGGCCCACACGUCGGGUUUACAUAGAGAUAUUAACGUGCUGCGCAAUUUUCUACCAUCUAGAAGACUCCAGAAGCCACAGGAAGGAAGCGGAGGCCGAGAGGACUCAGGGAUAGGGCGCCCGCCCUCCUUUCCUGGGCGCCCGCCCUCAACCAGAGUCCAAUCAGGACUCUCUUUCGGGAUAUUGCUCCACCGACCUAAAGGAUUAAGGAUAACUGUUCAAUCAAUGUCAGUUUGAUCCAACGGCCCAGAUUCACUUGAAGGGACUAUAAAACCAGACCCCCUGGCCCCUGGAGAUCAUACCUCUUCUACAGAAUCAAAGCUAGGGUUUCAAUUCUUCAUCCAAGUAGAGAAGAUAACUCUAGUUCUUCUAGUUCUACCUCUAGUUCAUCUAGAUCUAGUUCUAGUUCAUCUAGUUCUAGUUCUAGUUCCUCUAGUUCUAGUUCUAGUUAGUUCUAGUUGUAAUCUAGAAAAUAGGGAG
This 38817-nucleotide long non-coding RNA is filed under the name Sorghum bicolor (sorghum). RNAcentral describes it as "long non-coding RNA (SBIC_LNC011913)". The record is from RNAcentral. Lineage: Eukaryota; Viridiplantae; Streptophyta; Magnoliopsida; Poales; Poaceae.